CACGUAGUUAGCCGUGGCUUUCUGAUUAGGUACCGUCAAGAUGUGCACAGUUACUUACACAUUUGUUCUUCCCUAAUAACAGAGUUUUACGAGCCGAAACCCUUCAUCACUCACGCGGCGUUGCUCCGUCAGGCUUUCGCCCGUUGCGGAAGAUUCCCUACUGCUGCCUCCCGUAGGAGUCUGGACCGUGUCUCAGUUCCAGUGUGGCCGAUCACCCUCUCAGGUCGGCUACGUAUCGUCGCCUUGGUAAGCCGUUACCUUACCAACUAGCUAAUACGGCGCGGGUCCAUCUAUAAGUGAUAGCAAAACCAUCUUUCACUUUAGAACCAUGCGGUUCUAAAUGUUAUCCGGUAUUAGCUCCGGUUUCCCGAAGUUAUCCCAGUCUUAUAGGUAGGUUACCCACGUGUUACUCACCCGUCCGCCGCUAACUUCAAAGGAGCAAGCUCCUUAUCUGUUCGCUCGACUUGCAUGUAUUAGGCACGCCGCCAGCGUUCAUCCUGAGCCAGGAUCAAACUCU
This 517-nucleotide ribosomal RNA is filed under the name uncultured Staphylococcus sp. Its description in RNAcentral is "partial 16S ribosomal RNA". Lineage: Bacteria; Bacillati; Bacillota; Bacilli; Caryophanales; Staphylococcaceae. The record is from RNAcentral.